UACGUAGGGGGCAAGCGUUGUCCGGAAUCAUUGGGCGUAAAGAGCGUGUAGGCGGCCCGGUAAGUCCGCUGUGAAAGUCGGGGGCUCAACCCUCGAAUGCCGGUGGAUACUGUCGGGCUAGAGUGCGGAAGAGGCGAGUGGAAUUCCUGGUGUAGCGGUGAAAUGCGCAGAUAUCAGGAGGAACACCGGUGGCGAAGGCGGGUCUCUGGGCCGAUACUGACGCUGAGGAGCGAAAGCGUGGGGAGCGAACAGG
Molecule: ribosomal RNA, 253 nt
Filed under: uncultured bacterium
Lineage: Bacteria
Description: partial 16S ribosomal RNA
Rfam family: Bacterial small subunit ribosomal RNA
Source: RNAcentral